Molecule: non-coding RNA, 107 nt
Organism: Capsicum annuum
Lineage: Eukaryota; Viridiplantae; Streptophyta; Magnoliopsida; Solanales; Solanaceae
Source: Rfam
UAUUGGUGGUGUGGACAAUCCCAAAAAAAAGCCUUGAAGUAUUCUUAAGCAUGAUAAAGGUUUUCAGCAGUCUUCUGUUUGAAGCUUACUAUCUCAUUGCGAAGUCU